This 88-nucleotide transfer RNA is filed under the name Ectobacillus funiculus. Its description in RNAcentral is "tRNA-Ser". It matches the Rfam family "tRNA". Rfam says of the family: Transfer RNA (tRNA) molecules are approximately 80 nucleotides in length. Their secondary structure includes four short double-helical elements and three loops (D, anti-codon, and T loops). Further hydrogen bonds mediate the characteristic L-shaped molecular structure. tRNAs have two regions of fundamental functional importance: the anti-codon, which is responsible for specific mRNA codon recognition, and the 3' end, to which the tRNAs corresponding amino acid is attached (by aminoacyl-tRNA synthetases). tRNAs cope with the degeneracy of the genetic code in two manners: having more than one tRNA (with a specific anti-codon) for a particular amino acid; and 'wobble' base-pairing, i.e. permitting non-standard base-pairing at the 3rd anti-codon position. RNAcentral also lists the same sequence under 2 other names. The record is from RNAcentral. Lineage: Bacteria; Bacillati; Bacillota; Bacilli; Caryophanales; Bacillaceae.
GGAGGGUUGGUAGAGCGGCUUAAUACACCGGUCUUGAAAACCGGAGACGGUAACACGUCCGUGGGUUCAAAUCCCACACCCUCCUCCA